This 53-nucleotide small RNA is filed under the name Caenorhabditis elegans. RNAcentral describes it as "Unclassified non-coding RNA Y110A2AL.18". Lineage: Eukaryota; Metazoa; Nematoda; Chromadorea; Rhabditida; Rhabditidae. The record is from RNAcentral.
CUCAGGCUUAGGCUUAGGCUUAGGGUAAAGCCUUAGGCUGUGGCUUAGACUUA